CGCUAGCUACAGGCUUAACACAUGCAAGUCGAGGGGCAGCAUGGUCUUAGCUUGCUAAGGCCGAUGGCGACCGGCGCACGGGUGAGUAACGUGUAUCCAACCUGCCUUACACUCUUGGACAGCCUUCUGAAAGGGAGAUUAGUACAAGAUGUUAUCAUGAGUAAGCAUUUUCACAUGAUUAAAGGUUUACCGGUGUAAGAUGGGGAUGCGUUCCAUUAGAUAGUAGGCGGGGUAACGGCCCACCUAGUCUUCGAUGGAUAGGGGUUCUGAGAGGAAGGUCCCCCACAUUGGAACUGAGACACGGUCCAAACUCCUACGGGAGGCAGCAGUGAGGAAUAUUGGUCAAUGGACGAGAGUCUGAACCAGCCAAGUAGCGUGAAGGAUGAAGGUUCUAUGGAUUGUAAACUUCUUUUAUACGGGAAUAAACGAAUCCACGUGUGGAUUUUUGCAUGUACCGUAUGAAUAAGGAUCGGCUAACUCCGUGCCAGCAGCCGCGGUAAUACGGAGGAUCCGAGCGUUAUCCGGAUUUAUUGGGUUUAAAGGGAGCGUAGAUGGGUUGUUAAGUCAGUUGUGAAAGUUUGCGGCUCAACCGUAAAAUUGCAAUUGAUACUGGCAGUCUUGAGUACAGUUGAGGUAGGCGGAAUUCGUGGUGUAGCGGUGAAAUGCUUAGAUAUCACGAAGAACUCCGAUUGCGAAGGCAGCUUACUAACCUGUAACUGACAUUGAUGCUCGAAAGUGUGGGUAUCAAACAGGAUUAGAUACCCUGGUAGUCCACACGGUAAACGAUGAAUACUCGCUGUAGGCGAUAUACAGUCUGCGGCCAAGCGAAAGCAUUAAGUAUUCCACCUGGGGAGUACGCCGGCAACGGUGAAACUCAAAGGAAUUGACGGGGGCCCGCACAAGCGGAGGAACAUGUGGUUUAAUUCGAUGAUACGCGAGGAACCUUACCCGGGCUUAAAUUGCAACCGAAUAUGGCGGAAACGCUAUAGCUAGCAAUAGCGGUUGUGAAGGUGCUGCAUGGUUGUCGUCAGCUCGUGCCGUGAGGUGUCGGCUUAAGUGCCAUAACGAGCGCAACCCUUGCCGAUAGUUACUAACAGGUUAUGCUGAGGACUCUGUCGGGACUGCCAUCGUAAGAUGUGAGGAAGGUGGGGAUGACGUCAAAUCAGCACGGCCCUUACGUCCGGGGCUACACACGUGUUACAAUGGGGGGUACAGAGGGCUGCUACCACGCAAGUGGAUGCCAAUCCCAAAAACCUCUCUCAGUUCGGAUUGAAGUCUGCAACCCGACUUCAUGAAGCUGGAUUCGCUAGUAAUCGCGCAUCAGCCACGGCGCGGUGAAUACGUUCCCGGGCCUUGUACACACCGCCCGUCAAGCCAUGGGAGCCGGGGGUACCUGAAGUGCGUAACCGCAAGGAGCGCCCUAGGGUAAAACA
Molecule: ribosomal RNA, 1433 nt
Filed under: uncultured organism
Description: SSU rRNA
Rfam family: Bacterial small subunit ribosomal RNA
Source: RNAcentral